GACAGAGGGUGCGAACGUUGUUCGGAAUUACUGGGCGUAAAGCGCAUGUAGGCGGCAACGCAAGUCGGGCGUGAAAUCCCACGGCUCAACCGUGGAAGUGCACUCGAAACUGCGUAGCUAGAGUCCUGGAGAGGAAGGUGGAAUGCUUGGUGUAGAGGUAAAAUUCGUAGAUAUCAAGCGGAACACCGGUGGCGAAGGCGGCCUUCUGGACAGUGACUGACGCUGAGAUGCGAAAGCGUGGGGAGCAAACAGG
Molecule: ribosomal RNA, 253 nt
Filed under: uncultured bacterium
Lineage: Bacteria
Description: partial 16S ribosomal RNA
Rfam family: Bacterial small subunit ribosomal RNA
Source: RNAcentral